This 253-nucleotide ribosomal RNA is filed under the name uncultured bacterium. RNAcentral's name for it is "partial 16S ribosomal RNA". It matches the Rfam family "Bacterial small subunit ribosomal RNA", at positions 524 to 776 of the family's 1533-position model. The record is from RNAcentral.
GACGUAGGAGGCGAGCGUUGUUCGGAAUCACUGGGCGUAAAGGGCGCGUAGGCGGCCCUCCUUGUCGCGUGUGAAAGCCCCGGGCUCAACCUGGGAACGGCGCGCGAGACGGGGGGGCUGGAGUUCGGGAGAGGAGCGUGGAAUUCCCAGUGUAGAGGUGAAAUUCGUAGAUAUUGGGAAGAACACCGGUGGCGAAGGCGGCGCUCUGGACCGAGACUGACGCUGAGGCGCGAAAGCGUGGGGAGCAAACAGG